Molecule: small nuclear RNA, 100 nt
Filed under: Mustela putorius furo (domestic ferret)
Lineage: Eukaryota; Metazoa; Chordata; Mammalia; Carnivora; Mustelidae
Source: RNAcentral
UUGCUUUGGCAGUACAUGUACUAAAAUUGGAACCACACAGAGAUUAGCAUGGCCUCUGUGCAAGGACGACACGCAAAUUCAUGAAACGAUUUACAGUUUU